AAUCAACGCUGGCGGCGUGCCUAACACAUGCAAGUCGAACGAGAAAGGGGACUUCGGUCCCUGAGUACAGUGGCGCACGGGUGAGUAACACGUGACUUAUCUACCCUCGAGUGGGGAAUAACUUCGGGAAACCGAGGCUAAUACCGCAUAAUACCCACGGGUCAAAGGAGCAAUUCGCUUGAGGAGGAGGUCGCGGCCGAUUAGUUAGUUGGCGGGGUAAUGGCCCCACCCAAGACGGUGAUCGGUAUCCGGCCUGAGAGGGCGCACGGACACACUGGAACUGAAACACGGUCCAGACUCCUACGGGAGGCAGCAGUGGGGAAUUUUGCGCAAUGGGGGAAACCCUGACGCAGCAACACCGCGUGGAGGAUGAAGUCUCUUGGGACGUAAACUCCUUUCGAUCGGGACGAUUAUGACGGUACCGGAAGAAGAAGCCCCGGCUAACUUCGUG
RNAcentral lists this ribosomal RNA (451 nucleotides) under uncultured bacterium. RNAcentral's name for it is "bacterial SSU rRNA". It matches the Rfam family "Bacterial small subunit ribosomal RNA", at positions 32 to 507 of the family's 1533-position model. The record is from RNAcentral.